RNAcentral lists this long non-coding RNA (540 nucleotides) under Bos taurus (domestic cattle). RNAcentral describes it as "long non-coding RNA NONBTAT021999". Lineage: Eukaryota; Metazoa; Chordata; Mammalia; Artiodactyla; Bovidae. The record is from RNAcentral.
AUAGUCAUUACACCUCGAGGAUGACAAAGAUGAGAGUGUGGAAGAUUAACGAUCACAAAACUUACACCAAAAAGGGAAGCUUGUCUAUAUUAUAUGAAAAUCCCUUAUAAAAGGCAGUUCAUUAACCAAAAAUGCUUUAUACAUUCAGAUUUUCCCCAUCUCUCAACAGUGAUGGUUUCCAAAGAGAACACUCAGUAGUGAAGGCCACGCACUUGUUUUGCAUUAGUUUGAUACGCUGAAAAUCAGAACCUUUAAAGCAUCUUGUAAAUGGGAGAAAUGAAACUGGACCUGGGUAGGGGGCUGGGAUGGGAGUGAUCACAAUGAAUAUGUGACUUCGCUGUUGACGCACACAGCAAGGGAGCUGGUGGGAAAUGUUACAGCAGACCUGACCACUGCACAGAGGGUUGAUCAAGAACACAGUACAGGUAUCAAAAAAAACCAAAAAUCUGAAAACAAAAGUAAAAAACAAACUGCAACUUUGCCAACUUGUAAACAGGAAAAGCAUUUCACAGAUUCAAAGUUCAAGGGAAGUAAACGUUU